RNAcentral lists this transfer RNA (85 nucleotides) under Berryella intestinalis. RNAcentral describes it as "tRNA-Tyr (GTA) (tRNA-Tyr-GTA-1-1)". It matches the Rfam family "tRNA". Rfam says of the family: Transfer RNA (tRNA) molecules are approximately 80 nucleotides in length. Their secondary structure includes four short double-helical elements and three loops (D, anti-codon, and T loops). Further hydrogen bonds mediate the characteristic L-shaped molecular structure. tRNAs have two regions of fundamental functional importance: the anti-codon, which is responsible for specific mRNA codon recognition, and the 3' end, to which the tRNAs corresponding amino acid is attached (by aminoacyl-tRNA synthetases). tRNAs cope with the degeneracy of the genetic code in two manners: having more than one tRNA (with a specific anti-codon) for a particular amino acid; and 'wobble' base-pairing, i.e. permitting non-standard base-pairing at the 3rd anti-codon position. The record is from RNAcentral. Lineage: Bacteria; Bacillati; Actinomycetota; Coriobacteriia; Eggerthellales; Eggerthellaceae. RNAcentral also lists the same sequence under 1 other name.
GGGAGUGUGCCCGAGUGGUUAAAGGGGACGGGCUGUAAACCCGUUAGCUAUGCUUACCAAGGUUCGAAUCCUUGCGCUCCCACCA